AUUGAACGCUGGCGGCAGGCCUAACACAUGCAAGUCGAGCGGAUGAAGGGAGCUUGCUCCUGGAUUCAGCGGCGGACGGGUGAGUAAUGCCUAGGAAUCUGCCUGGUAGUGGGGGAUAACGUCCGGAAACGGGCGCUAAUACCGCAUACGUCCUGAGGGAGAAAGUGGGGGAUCUUCGGACCUCACGCUAUCAGAUGAGCCUAGGUCGGAUUAGCUAGUUGGUGGGGUAAGGGCCUACCAAGGCGACGAUCCGUAACUGGUCUGAGAGGAUGAUCAGUCACACUGGAACUGAGACACGGUCCAGACUCCUACGGGAGGCAGCAGUGGGGAAUAUUGGACAAUGGGCGAAAGCCUGAUCCAGCCAUGCCGCGUGUGUGAAGAAGGUCUUCGGAUUGUAAAGCACUUUAAGUUGGGAAGAAGGGCAGUAAGUUAAUACCUUGCUGUUUUGACGUUACCAACAGAAUAAGCACCGGCUAACUUCGUG
This 484-nucleotide ribosomal RNA is filed under the name uncultured bacterium. RNAcentral's name for it is "partial 16S ribosomal RNA". It matches the Rfam family "Bacterial small subunit ribosomal RNA", at positions 30 to 507 of the family's 1533-position model. The record is from RNAcentral.